GGAGGACUGUAGUUCAAAGGUAGAACAUCUGCUUUACAUGUAGAAGGUCCCAGUUUCAAUCCCUAGCAUCUCUA
Podarcis lilfordi (Lilford's wall lizard) is the source of this 74-nucleotide non-coding RNA. The record is from the annotation of a GenBank genome assembly. Lineage: Eukaryota; Metazoa; Chordata; Lepidosauria; Squamata; Lacertidae.